RNAcentral lists this ribosomal RNA (465 nucleotides) under Vreelandella stevensii. RNAcentral describes it as "partial 16S ribosomal RNA". It matches the Rfam family "Bacterial small subunit ribosomal RNA", at positions 338 to 795 of the family's 1533-position model. Lineage: Bacteria; Pseudomonadati; Pseudomonadota; Gammaproteobacteria; Oceanospirillales; Halomonadaceae. The record is from RNAcentral.
CCUACGGGUGGCAGCAGUGGGGAAUAUUGGACAAUGGGGGGAACCCUGAUCCAGCCAUGCCGCGUGUGUGAAGAAGGCCCUCGGGUUGUAAAGCACUUUCAGUGAGGAAGAACGCCUGGUGGUUAAUACCCAUCAGGAAAGACAUCACUCACAGAAGAAGCACCGGCUAACUCCGUGCCAGCAGCCGCGGUAAUACGGAGGGUGCGAGCGUUAAUCCGAAUUACUGGGCGUAAAGCGCGCGUAGGUGGCUUGAUAAGCCGGUUGUGAAAGCCCCGGGCUCAACCUGGGAACGGCAUCCGGAACUGUCAAGCUAGAGUGCAGGAGAGGAAGGUAGAAUUCCCGGUGUAGCGGUGAAAUGCGUAGAGAUCGGGAGGAAUACCAGUGGCGAAGGCGGCCUUCUGGACUGACACUGACACUGAGGUGCGAAAGCGUGGGUAGCAAACAGGAUUAGAUACCCCUGUAGUC